GCUCUCUCCUUGAUCAAGUGCGAAGAAAAGCCUAUAAAUUGUAAGUUUUGUCACCUAUUUCUUCAAAUUGGUUCUAAACCAUCUUCUAGCAGAUCUAAGAGGCUGUAGCCUGCAGAUUGAUUCAUGACCAUGAAGACCUUACUUGUACUCUUUGUUGCAUUCCUCCCGAUCUUAGCAACUCUGCAGACCAAUGCAGAAACUCAUGUGACAGUGCAGGCCAAUUACGUCCAUCAGCUCUCAAGGACUGAAUCCACCCCUGGUCGAAAGGUUAACGGUGGUGCUAGUCAUGACAGUGUCAACAACGACGUCGUUGCCGCAAGCGCGGAGACUACAGCGGUCGCCAACAGUACUGAUACGGUCGAUACAGAUCACGAGGCGAACCCAAGCUAUCGCGGAAACAUCAAUGGAACUAAUUCUCCUUCGUCCAGUAAUACUCACCAUUUUUUUUCAGAUGAUCGCAAACCCCACAGAAACUAAUUAUCGAACCAGGAGAAGGGAGCUAAAUAUUUAUGCAUGAAUAAAUUAACAAAUAUGGUGUGGCUUAAUGCAAUAAAUUAAUUAUAUAAGCGGAACCAACGCGUGUUAGACGUAGCAGGCAUGGCCAAAGCACAAGCAUGCAUGUCCAAGAUGAAGUAAUUUUAGUUUCUUUUUAUGUAAUUUUGCGCAACGUACAGACUUCUAGCUUGCGUGCAAAUUAACUAUAAAUAUAUAUGUGUGUGUGUGUGUUGUGAAAUAUUAUUGCUUCUCUGAAAUGAAGGAAUCAUGCAUGCAUAGCAGCAUAUGGCUAGCAUGCAUGCUUCGUGUUUGCUAGCAUAUAUAUGCUCGAUAUGAUCAGUCGUUGUACCCUAGCUAGCUUGGUGGAA
Long non-coding RNA from Carya illinoinensis, 863 nucleotides. RefSeq lists it as uncharacterized. The transcript has 2 exons. The record is from RefSeq and is a predicted model, not a curated record. Lineage: Eukaryota; Viridiplantae; Streptophyta; Magnoliopsida; Fagales; Juglandaceae.